GGCGCACGGCUGAGGAACACGUGGGUUAUCUGCCCUGGGGUGGGGGAUAACGCGCCGAAAGGUGCGCUAAUCCCGCAUACGUUUGCACAUUAUAGUGCAAAGAAAGCUUCCAAGCGCCCUAGGAGGAGCCUGCGCCCCAUCACGGUAGUUGGUAGGGUAACGGCCUACCAAGCCUUUGACGGGUCCCUGGUCUGAGAGGACGACCAGGCAGACUGGGACUGAGAUACGGCCCAGACUCCUACGGGAGGCAGCAGCAAGGAAUUUUCGGCAAUGGGCGCAAGCCUGACCGAGCAACACCGCGUGCGGGACGAAGGCCUUCGGGUUGUAAACCGCUUUUGCAAAGGACGAAUUUUUGACGGUACUUUGCGAAUAAGCCCCGGCUAACUCCGUGCCAGCAGCCGCGGUAAGACGGAGGGGGCAAGCGUUGUCCGGACUCACUGGGCGUAAAGCGUGCGUAGGCGGUAGGAUGCGUCGGUACUGAAAGCUCCUUGCUUAACAAGGAAGGGCGUAUCGAUACGAUCCAACUCGAGGAAGUGGGAGGUUGGCAGAAUUCCGGGUGUAGUGGUGAAAUGCGUAGAUAUCCGGAGGAAUACCGGUGGUGUAGACGGCCAACUAAGACUUUCCUGACGCCGAGGCACGAAAGCGUGGGUAGCGAACCGGAUUAGAUACCCGGGUAGUCCACGCAGUAAACUAUGUCGGCUCGGUGUGCGGCGCUGAUUAUACAGCGCGGCGUGCCUAAGCUUACGCGGUAAGCCGACCGCCUGGGGACUACGAGCGCAAGCUUAAAAACUCAAAGGAAUUGACGGGGGCCCGCACAAGCAGCGGAGCGUGUGGUUUAAUUCGACACAACGCGAAGAACCUUACCCAGGCUUGACAUGUUCCUGCAAGCGCACAGAAAUGUGUGACCUUCGAGGGUGGAACACAGGUGCUGCAUGGCUGUCGUCAGCUCGUGUCGUGAGAUGUUGGGUUAAGUCCCGCAACGAGCGCAACCCCCGCCGCCAGUUACAAGUGUCUGGCGGGACAGCCACCUUUUCGGUGGAGGAAGGCGGGGAUGACGUCAAGUCAGCAUGGCCCUUACGCCUGGGGCUACACACACGCUACAAUGACCAUGACAAUGCGUUGCAACUUCGCAAGAAGUAGCUAAUCGCCAAACAUGGUCCCAGUGCAGAUCGGGGGCUGCAACUCGCCCCCGUGAAGAUGGAGUUGCUAGUAACCGCGUAUCAGCUAUGGCGCGGUGAAUACGUGCCCGGGCCUUGUACACACCGCCCGUCACGUCAUGGGAGUUGGUAAUGCCUGAAGUCCGUCAGCUAACCCGCAAGGGAGGCAGCGGCCGAAGGCAGGACUAGCGACUGGGACGAAGUCGUAACAAGGUA
Molecule: ribosomal RNA, 1373 nt
Filed under: metagenome
Description: bacterial SSU rRNA
Rfam family: Bacterial small subunit ribosomal RNA
Source: RNAcentral